RNAcentral lists this ribosomal RNA (486 nucleotides) under uncultured bacterium. Its description in RNAcentral is "partial 16S ribosomal RNA". It matches the Rfam family "Bacterial small subunit ribosomal RNA", at positions 30 to 507 of the family's 1533-position model. The record is from RNAcentral.
AUUGAACGCUGGCGGCAUGCCUUACACAUGCAAGUCGAACGGCAGCACGGGUGCUUGCACCUGGUGGCGAGUGGCGAACGGGUGAGUAAUACAUCGGAACAUGUCCUGUAGUGGGGGAUAGCCCGGCGAAAGCCGGAUUAAUACCGCCUACGAUCUACGGAUGAAAGCGGGGGACCUUCGGGCCUCGCGCUAUGGGGUUGGCCGAUGGCUGAUUAGCUAGUUGGUGGGGUAAAGGCCUACCAAGGCGACGAUCAGUAGCUGGUCUGAGAGGACGACCAGCCACACUGGGACUGAGACACGGCCCAGACUCCUACGGGAGGCAGCAGUGGGGAAUUUUGGACAAUGGGCGAAAGCCUGAUCCAGCAAUGCCGCGUGUGUGAAGAAGGCCUUCGGGUUGUAAAGCACUUUUGUCCGGAAAGAAAUCCUUGGCCCUAAUACGGUCGGGGGAUGACGGUACCGGAAGAAUAAGCACCGGCUAACUACGUG